AUGUCGGCAGUCGCGGCGCACCGAGCCUCUCCGGCCAUGUGGUCCCCGCAGCCUCCGCCGCCCCGCCUCCAGCUCCGGCGGCCUGCGCCGAUUCCCCAUCACUCCUCGCGGCGCGGCCGCGGCCUCAGCCGCAUCGCCGCAUCGCAGGAGGACCCGCUGACCGCGCUGACCCGCGUGCUGUGGGGCCGCGCGCUGCCGCCGUCGCAGCUCGUGCUCGCCGUCCGCCACGGCUGGACCUCGGCGUGGAGGCUCCUCAUGCGCCAGCUCGCGCCCUCCGACCCGGCCACGGGCGCCUUCACCCGCACCCCGUCCCGCUUCCCGUCCGUCGCGCCGCCCGCGCCCGGCCCCGGCGCGCGCCUCCACCUCUACGUCGGCCUCCCCUGCCCCUGGGCGCACCGCGCGCUCCUCGUCCGGGCCCUCCUCGGCCUGGGGCCCCGCCUCCCCGUCUCCGUCGCCGUCCCGGGCGACGACGGCGCGUGGUCCUUCACGCCAGAGAGCCCCGACGCGCUCUACGGCUCCCGCAGGCUCCGGGACGUGUACGCCGCCCGGCGCGGCGGGUUCGAGGGCCGGGCGUCCGUGCCCAUGCUCUGGGACGCCGGCCGCCGCGAGGUGGUCUGCAACGAGAGCAUCGAGAUCGCCAAGUUCCUCUGCACGCUCGCCGCCUCCGGCGCCGGCGCCGGAGGCCUCGACCUCUGGCCGCCGGAGCACCGCCAGGAGAUCGACCGCUGGUACGGCGUCAUCUACCCGAGCGUCAACAACGGCGUGUACCGGUGCGGGUUCGCGCAGAGCCAGGCGGCCUACGACGCGGCGGCGGCCGAGCUGUUCGCCGCGCUGGACAUGCUCGAGGGCCACCUCUCCGGGUCCCGGUACCUGUGCGCCGGCGCCGGCGUGACGCUGGCCGACGUCUGCCUCUUCACCACGCUCAUACGGUUCGACCUGGUGUACAACCCGCUGUUCCGGUGCAGCCGGAGGAAGCUGGUGGAGUACCCCAGCCUCCACGCCUACAUGCGGGAGAUCUACCAGCUGCCCGGCGCAGCCGAGACCUGCGACAUGGCCGCCAUCGCCGACGGGUACUUCGGGACGCUCUUCCCGCUCAACCCCGGCGGGAUCCUGCCCGUCGUGCCGGCGAGCUGCAGCCGGGAAGCCCUCAUGAAACCUCAUGGCAGAGAGGCAUUGCCUUCUUCUGCUGCUGCUGCUGAUGGUAGGCAGCUAGGAGCAACUGCUAGUGUUGUUGGCUAG
RNAcentral lists this ribosomal RNA (1239 nucleotides) under Triticum aestivum (bread wheat). RNAcentral describes it as "partial small subunit ribosomal RNA". The record is from RNAcentral. Lineage: Eukaryota; Viridiplantae; Streptophyta; Magnoliopsida; Poales; Poaceae.